AAUAUUUCGCAAUGGAGGGAACUCUGACGCAGCGACGCCGCGUGAGCGAUGAAGGUCUUCGGAUCGUAAAGCUCUGUCCUUGGGGAAGAAGGGAGCCGUAAGGCUUCGUGACGGUACCCAUGGAGUAAGCCCCGGCUAACUACGUUCCAGCAGCCGCUGUAAUACGUAGGGGGCAAGCGUUGUACGGAAUUAUUGGGCGUAAGGGGUGCGUAGGCGGCACUUUAAGUCAGAUGGGAAAGCCCACGGCUCAACCGUGGGAUUGGAUUUGAAACUGGAGGGCUUGAAUAUCGGAGAGGGUAGUGGAAUUCCCAGUGUAGCGGUGAAAUGCGUAGAUAUUGGGAGGAACACCAGUGGCGAAGGCGACUAACUGGACGAUUAAUGACGCUGAUGCACGAAAGCUAGGGGAGGAAACA
RNAcentral lists this ribosomal RNA (413 nucleotides) under uncultured bacterium. RNAcentral's name for it is "partial 16S ribosomal RNA". It matches the Rfam family "Bacterial small subunit ribosomal RNA", at positions 360 to 774 of the family's 1533-position model. The record is from RNAcentral.